This 492-nucleotide ribosomal RNA is filed under the name uncultured bacterium. RNAcentral's name for it is "partial 16S ribosomal RNA". It matches the Rfam family "Bacterial small subunit ribosomal RNA", at positions 29 to 507 of the family's 1533-position model. The record is from RNAcentral.
AGUGAACGCUGGCGGUAGGCCUAACACAUGCAAGUCGAACGGCAGCACAGUAAGAGCUUGCUCUUACGGGUGGCGAGUGGCGGACGGGUGAGGAAUACAUCGGAAUCUACUUUUUCGUGGGGGAUAACGUAGGGAAACUUACGCUAAUACCGCAUACGACCUACGGGUGAAAGCAGGGGAUCUUCGGACCUUGCGCGAUUGAAUGAGCCGAUGUCGGAUUAGCUAGUUGGCGGGGUAAAGGCCCACCAAGGCGACGAUCCGUAGCUGGUCUGAGAGGAUGAUCAGCCACACUGGAACUGAGACACGGUACAGACUCCUACGGGAGGCAGCAGUGGGGAAUAUUGGACAAUGGGCGAAAGCCUGAUCCAGCAAUACCGCGUGGGUGAAGAAGGCCUUCGGGUUGUAAAGCCCUUUUGUUGGGAAAGAAAAGCAGCAGGUUAAUACCCCGCUGUUCUGACGGUACCCAAAGAAUAAGCACCGGCUAACUUCGUG